RNAcentral lists this ribosomal RNA (251 nucleotides) under uncultured bacterium. RNAcentral describes it as "partial 16S ribosomal RNA". It matches the Rfam family "Bacterial small subunit ribosomal RNA", at positions 524 to 776 of the family's 1533-position model. The record is from RNAcentral.
UACGAAAGGGGCGAGUGUUGUUUGUGUGGACUAGGUGUAAAGGAUGUGUAGGCAGUUUUUUUGAUUUGCUAUUAAAUUAACCAAAGAGUGGGUUUGCGGUAGCUUUAACCAAAAAACUUGAGUUUGCGUAGGUUAGCAGUACUAGAUGAGUUAAGGUCAUCGACCAGAGAUAACUUUAAGAAUUCCAUAGGUCAAUGCGGCUUUCCAUAGUGAACUGACGCUGAGACAUUAAAGCGUGGGGAGCAAAUGGG